UACGUAGGGGGCAAGCGUUGUCCGGAUUUAUUGGGCGUAAAGAGCGUGUAGGCGGCCAAACAGGUCAGCUGUGAAAACUAGAGGCUCAACCUCUAGACGUCGACGGAAACCGUGUGGCUAGAGUCCGGAAGAGGAGAGUGGAAUUCCUGGUGUAGCGGUGAAAUGCGCAGAUAUCAGGAAGAACACCAAUGGCGAAGGCAGCUCUCUGGGACGGUACUGACGCUGAGACGCGAAAGCGUGGGGAGCGAACAGG
This 253-nucleotide ribosomal RNA is filed under the name uncultured bacterium. Its description in RNAcentral is "partial 16S ribosomal RNA". It matches the Rfam family "Bacterial small subunit ribosomal RNA", at positions 524 to 776 of the family's 1533-position model. The record is from RNAcentral.